Molecule: ribosomal RNA, 863 nt
Filed under: Paenibacillus sp.
Lineage: Bacteria; Bacillati; Bacillota; Bacilli; Caryophanales; Paenibacillaceae
Description: partial 16S ribosomal RNA
Rfam family: Bacterial small subunit ribosomal RNA
Source: RNAcentral
UKWKWGAUCWGCUCAGGACGAACSCUGGCGGCGUKCCUAAUACAUKCAAACGUCGAGCGGACUYKAWGAGGWGYUYGCUYCUCUSAUGGUUAGCGGCGGACGGGUGAGUAACACGAGGCAACCUGCCCGUAAGACCGGGAUAGUACCGGAAACGURGCUAAUACCGGAUUAAUUUAUCGCUUCGCAUGGAGCGGUAAUGAAAGACGGAGCAAUCUGUCACUUACGGAUGGGCCUGAUUAGCUAGUUGGUGAGGUAACGGCUCACCAAGGCGACGAUGCGUAGCCGACCUGAGAGGGUGAACGGCCACACUGGGACUGAGACACGGCCCAGACUCCUACGGGAGGCAGCAGUAGGGAAUCUUCCGCAAUGGGCGAAAGCCUGACGGAGCAACGCCGCGUGAGUGAUGAAGGUUUUCGGAUCGUAAACUCUGUUGCCAGGGAAGAACGUCGGRUAGAGUAACUGCUAUCCGAGUGACGGUACCUGAGAAGAAAGCCCCGGCUAACUACGUGCCAGCAGCCGCGGUAAUACGUAGGGGGCAAGCGUUAACCGGAAUUAUUGGGCGUAAAGCGCGCGCAGGUCACUUAAGUCUGGUGUUUAAGGCUAGGGCUCAACUCUAGUUCGCACUGGAAACUGGGUGACUUGAGUGCAGAAGAGGAAAGUGGAAUUCCACGUGUAGCGGUGAAAUGGUAGAGAUGUGGAGGAACACCAGUGGCGAAGGCGACUUUCUGGGCUGUAACUGAUGAGGCGCGAAAGCGUGGGAGCAAACAGGAUUAGAUACCCUGGUAGUCCACGCCGUAAACRAWRAAKGSUAGGUGUUAGGGGUUUCGAUACCCUUGGUGCCGAAGUUAACACAUUAAGCAUCC